Molecule: long non-coding RNA, 460 nt
Filed under: Fragaria vesca (wild strawberry)
Lineage: Eukaryota; Viridiplantae; Streptophyta; Magnoliopsida; Rosales; Rosaceae
Description: long non-coding RNA (FVES_LNC004227)
Source: RNAcentral
GCAUAGGACCGUUGGAGCCUUGGAUCAAUGGAUGCACAAAAUAAUGCCACAAUGGGUUUGAUUCAUAUUCAAAUUGGGGUUUAUUCUGUUAAACUGUUUUUUUGAUUGUGUUCUUUCACUGUCUUUUUGUUUUCUUUUAAGUUAAGUUUUCUCUCCAACAAGAGUCUCUGGCUUUUCUCAUUUUUGUGAUGUUGUACUGAAAUACUAAGGACCAGUUUAGAUGAUACUGAAAGUCUGAAACAUUUUCACACAACUAGUACAAGUAUAUUCCAUAACUUGUAUUGGAAUAAUCUUAAUGAUAUUAUCUUUAAUUUGCGUUCAUUUUGGGGUGGUAUAUUUUUAGGGUAAAAUAUUGUAUAGUCCUUCUGGUUUGAAGUCGACAUCUGUUUAGCAUCUAAAUAGUCCUUAUGAUUUUAUUUUAAUCUAAAUAGUCUUUAAAGUCAUAAUUUUUCAUCUAAAU